AUUGAACGCUGGCGGCAUGCCUUACACAUGCAAGUCGAACGGCAGCAUGGGAGCUUGCUCCUGAUGGCGAGUGGCGAACGGGUGAGUAAUGCAUCGGAACGUACCCGGAAGUGGGGGAUAACGUAGCGAAAGUUACGCUAAUACCGCAUAUUCUGUGAGCAGGAAAGAGGGGGGAUCGCAAGACCUCUCGCUUUUCGGAGCGGCCGAUGUCAGAUUAGCUAGAUGGUGAGGUAAAGGCUCACCAAGGCGACGAUCUGUAGCGGGUCUGAGAGGAUGAUCCGCCACACUGGAACUGAGACACGGUCCAGACUCCUACGGGAGGCAGCAGUGGGGAAUUUUGGACAAUGGGGGCAACCCUGAUCCAGCCAUGCCGCGUGAGUGAAGAAGGCCUCGG
RNAcentral lists this ribosomal RNA (394 nucleotides) under uncultured bacterium. Its description in RNAcentral is "bacterial SSU rRNA". It matches the Rfam family "Bacterial small subunit ribosomal RNA", at positions 30 to 420 of the family's 1533-position model. The record is from RNAcentral.